UGUGUGGGAGCAAAGCAAUGACACAAGUGGUGGUAAGUGAGGAAGAUGGAGCAGAAGAUGAAAUUGUUUUCAGCAAAUUGAAGACAUUGUCUCUGCUUGAUUUAGAUAGCCUCACAAGUUUCUACUCUGGCAAUUACACCUUCAAAUUCCCAUCUCUACAAGAUUUAGAAGUGAUUGGUUGUCCCAAGAUGAAGAUUUUCACCACAGGAGAAUUAUGCACACCGCCGAGAGUAAAUGUCUGGUAUGGAGAGGGAGAUGGUGAAUGUCGUUGGGCUAAUGACCUUAACGUUACGAUACAAGAGUUGCAUGCUGAAAAGGUACGGUUAACCCACCAACUUAACUCCCAAGGAAAAAUUUUACAAAUUUGCACUUUUUAACAAAAUUUAGAAAAUAGAUCAUGGACAACCAAGUUUGACUCAUUAGAAUAUUUAUUAUUGAGUAAGUGCAUGAUCGGGUUUGAAAAAGUAUGAGACACUUCUGUAUGUAGUUCUUGAAACUGUCCAAUUUAAAACAGACAUAUUCAAUUCUCAAAAAAUCAUGAAUCAUUAGUUUUAACUUCAUAAUAUAAAAGUCGUGUCAAAUUAAUGAAUGAGAAUUUUGUUUUCAGAUGUUGGAGGGGUCGUCAUCUAACUUGAGGAAGUACGAUUGGUGAUCAUGUUGGCUUUUUAAUUUAUUACUUGGAGUUGUGAAUUUGAAGAAUAAAGUCCCAGGUAAAUAAUUUAAUUUCCCUUAUUUGAUCUCAUAGCUUGUUUCAUCGGUUCACCUGAACUAUUUAGAUUGCGUCACUGGUUUAUUGUUAACUUUAAAAUGAAGUUUUAAUGUUUCAUUCGGGGCUUUAUGAGCAAAUUUUACAUCAUUGAAUGUCCUUUGGUCUGAACUUUUGAGCUUUUUGUUUGAUAGUCAAGGCUUUAUAGUAUGCUAUUUAUAAUUCCUUAAGAAUGUGCAAAAUUUUUUAUGAUAAAAUUGCUUGAAUAUGUCAUUGAAAGGAACUUCUAUGUUGCUCUUUAUGAUUACAGAGUUCUCAAUGUUAUCACUCUUCUUUUGCAGGAUGUGGAAUCAAAGAUACUUUUCUAUGAAAUUUGUGUUCCUUGUAUUAAAAGUUUACAUGCUGAAGGGCUUCCUGUGUUAUCUUUGCUGUUCUACUUGUGCUUUACUUCAUUGUGUCGCUACAGCUUUGUGAGUGUUAUGUUAACUAUUGUUUCCUUCAUUUGGGCAUUGUAAGUUUCGAAGGCGCUACAUUGCUUGACUAAAGAUGCUUAAAUUUAUCAUCUGUUUGUACCCCUUGUAUUAUAUACAAUAAAUUUUUGAUGUAUUUUGACAUUUAAUACGAGAUAUGUUUGAAUUUUCAUUGAAAGGUUUCAUAAUUGUUCAAAUUUAUCUUCAGUUUUAUUUUUGUUAUCUUGUUGGAACCAAAUUGACAACCAAGAUCAAUUUGGAACACCCAAGAUCCACUCUAAGAAACUUGAUCUUAACUAGGUCUGAUACUAGACUGAGUUUAAGAAGAAAUUUGCCUAGGUAAGUGGAAUCAAACACAACUCAAGGAACAAAAGCAGAAAAGAAAGAAAACAGAUCUCACACACAGCACCAAGAUUUAUAGUGGUUCGGCCAUUUUCUUGCCUAUAUCCACUGUGAAAAGAGAAGCAAGCUUUCACUGAUUUCAGAGAUUACAAGUCACAGAGAUGAAGAGUAUGUGUAACAGAAUCGAAACCCCUCAGUAACAGAUCAUAGAGCCUUUUACAUUUCAAUCAAAACCCUCUAAAAGGACCCCAAACAAUCAGCUCACGCUCCUGGGUUUCUCAGCUAAGCAAUCCCAGCUGCAUCUGCAUCCCGCGUGAAUUAACUGAAUUAACAGCUUCUGGAACUGCUCAGGGACACUUGUCAAAUGCUCGUAUAAUUUGCUACUUCAAAAACCGACAUGACAUCACUUCCUUCCCCAAGCAUCAGACACGUCAUACACAUUCCCGAAUCCAGAUUUGAGCUUCCCCUCUUCAGCAUAUCUCAAAUACAUGUUAGGCCUUGCAUGCAUAGACGCACGUAAUAUCCCAGAAGAGUUUUAUCAGAUGAUUUUACUAUCAUCGUUGUUGUUGCUGCUCCCGCCGCCGCCAUUAUUACUAUUAUUAUACUACUACUUGAAAAUUUCAAGUAUUUUAGAUGAGAAAUUUAUUAUGUUAGAGAUAUUCAUAAUAUACAUGAUGCUGAAAUCAGGGAAUUUGUUGUCUCAGUUUGUUUUAUUUUUGUUUGCCUCGAAUCAAAUUUUGAAAUUUAAGAACUAUGGUAAGAGAUGGAACAAGAGGAGUUAAAAAAUUUGCCAAAAUUGAUGUAGCAAUGAAACAAUUGUAUCCUAACAUGUUUAGCAUCAUUCUACUUUAUGAUCAUUGUUGUUCCGUUAUUUUAGUUCUUGCUCUGUUUGUUCUGUUUCUCUGUUUAUUUCACUGGGGGUUUGCUUCACAAAAUCUUACUUUCAAAAUUUAGAAGGCAAGGAAAGAGCGCUUCGAAAAUGCAAGAGGUAUCAAAUCAUGCAUUAAAAAACUUGUUGGCUGCUGGCUGGUCUAUUUCAUUGGCACCGAUCGAAUCAUUAUCCCUAAAAUAAUUAGGAGUCGGAGAUAUAAGUGUGAAAAUAACAGGAUCAUUUACAACAUGGAAAUCAGUCGCCAUUGGUAGGUGGCGCUGCAUAUGAUAAUAACAACUGAUUGAUACCAACAAAGUGUUGGCUCCACUGGUAAUGGAGUCCCCUUAAGUGGCUUGACUGGAUUUGCUCCCCAGUUCGAGUCGCAGGGAAGUCGCCUUUGUUGGGAGAAUCUGUGCCUCCCGGUUCGAGCGGAGACUUCUAGUCUGGGUUGUGGUACGGGCUUAAAGGUGCCUCCCACAGUUGGGGCCCUCCCCAGGAUACCUCGUGAUUAAUAUAAAAAAAAAAAAACAACUGAUUGAUGAAAUUAAUGCCAUCAAUCUGCCUGUUAAUGUUGUUGACGCGUGUCAAAUUUUCAUGCAUAUUAGAAUUUAUUAGUGAGGUUGCAUUAUGGUCCAUAUCGUCAAUAACUUUAGCAGUCAAAUUUUACGCCACUGGAGUCAAAUUUUCAUGCAUAAAGCUGUUGGCUGGUCUGUUUGGCUCUACAAUGAUUUAUCUUUUCGACUUAAAAUGAUUCCAAAAAGCCAUCAGCAAUCUCUAGUGCAACUCUUCAAAAAAAAAAAUUAAAAUAAAAAUAAAAGUCUCAAAAAGUAUCAUUAAUUUAAUUCUAUUGUUUCCGGGUAAUCAGAACGUGUUUGAUAAAUAUUUAUAAGUUACAGUUUGAAAAUUAAAUAGAUUUUAUUUAACAAAAAGAUAUUGUUGACGCGUGUCAAAUUUUCAUGCAUAUUAGAAUUUAUUAGUGAGGUUGCAUUAUGGUCCAUAUCGUCAAUAACUUUAGCAGUCAAAUUUUACGCCACCGGAGUCAAGUGAUUUUUAAGCAGUUUUAUUCAACUGGUUACCUGAGUUCGAAUCUUAAAGAGAUAAAUAGUUAAAAAUGAAUUUAGACUUUGCCUACUCCUUUAAUAAAAAAAGAAGGUCAUUUAGUCUUAACUUUUGAAAUUUUUAUUUGACAUUUCGGCUUUAUAGCAUGCGAUGUAUUUUCUUAAAUUUUAUAAUUCCUUGAGAAUGUGCAAACAUUUUAUGAUAAAAUUACUUAAAAAUGUCGUUGAAACGAACUGAACUUUUUAUGUUGAAAGAAAGCCUUAUUAUUUUUCUGUACUUCUAUGUAAUGCUUUAUGGUUACAAAAUUCUCAUUGUUAUCACUCUUCUUGUGCAAGAUCUGUAAUGAAAGAUACUUUUCUGUCAAAUUUGUGUUCCUGAUAUUAAAAGUUCACAUGCUGGGGGGCUUCCUAUUUCAUCUUUGUCAUUCUACUUGUGCUUUGCUUCAUUGUGUAGCUACAGCAUUAUAAGCGUUACCAUAACUUAUCUGCAGCAAUUUUAUAAUUUACUAUUAUUGUGGUUGUUGCUGCUAUCAUUGUUCUACUAGUUGGAAAAUUCGAAUUCUUUUAGACGUGACAUUUAUCAUAUUAGAUAUUCAAGGUAUACAUACAUGCAUAUAUAUAUAUAUAUAUAUACUGGGUAUCUGUUUAGAUAUGAUGCAGAGAAAUGACAGAAGUUGUAUUAAGUGACGAAGAUUGAGCAGCAAAACAAGAGAUAGUUUUCAGCAAAUUAAAGACGUUGGCUCUGUUUGAUUUAGUUAGACUCACAAGUUUCUGCUCUGGCAAUUGCACUUUCAAAUUCCCAUCCUUGCAAGAUUUAACUGUGAUUGACUGUCCCAAGAUGAAGAAUUUUACUAGAGGAGAAUUAUGGAUGCCAUCUGGUACGGAGAGAGAGAAGAUGAAAGCCGUUGGGCUAAUGACCUUAACACAACCAUACAACAACUACAUGCAGAAACGGUAUGAUUAAUUCACUAUUCUAUCUCCAAUGGAAAAGUUUUACAAAAUUUGCAAUUUUUUAACAAAACGUAGAAAACUGAUCAUUGACAAGUUAGUUUGAUUCAUUAGAAUAUUCGCUAUUACUUUUGUAUUUAAUUCAUCAAACUGUCCUAUUUAAUAUUGACAUUUUCACAAAAGUUAGAUAAUGUUUUUCAAUUCUCACAAAUUCGUUAAUAAUUAGUUUUAAUUUCAUAAUAUGAAAAUCUUGUCAAAGAAAUUGUGUUAUUAAACUUAUUAAAUCUCUCGCUAGUGGCUUCCUUCCUAAUCUCCAUGUGCUUUAGUAUUUAUUUCCAAGUGCCUAAUUUUACGACUUUUAAUUUAGAUUAAUGAAUGACAAUUCUUAUUUUUUCAGCUGUUGGAGGGGCUUUCAUCUUAGUCGACUUUAUACAAGUAAUCUGAUCAAAUACAUUUUAGUACUUGGAUAAGAUGUGGAUUUGAAGACUAAAGAUCGCAGGUAACUAAUUUUAUUACUUAUGUACUUUUCUCAUGGUUUUGUUUCAUCGUUUCAUCUAAACUCUUUGGAAUGCAUUAAUUUUGUUUAUUGUUAAUUUGGAACGAAGUUUUAACGUAUCAUUCAGGGAUUUUGUUUGCAUCAUUGAGGGUUGUUUGGCCUUAACUUCUGAGGUUUUUGACAUUCAGCUUUAUAUUGUGCUAUUUUUUGUAAUUUUAUAACUUCUUGAAAGCAUGCAUAUAUUUUUUUUCUUAUCAUGAUGCCUCGAAAAUGUCAUUAGAAGGGACAGCAGUUUUCUUUUUCUUAUUUAUUUUCAAGUAUCUACGUUUGCGAAUUUUAGUUCAACUUGUUGAAUGGGAAUUUUGUUUUCAGCUACGUACAAGACGAUGCCGCUGCUGCUGCCAUUGUUACUGUCAUAGUUACUAUUACUCGAAAAUUUCAAGUAAUUUAGUUGUGAAAUUCAUUAUGUUAGAGAUAUUCAAAAUAUAUAUGAUGCUGAAAGAAAAGAGUGGACUUGUUGUCUCAGUUUGUCUCAUUUUGUUUUCUCCAACUCUAAUUUUCAAAUUUUAGAAAUAUGGUAAGAGAAGGAACAAAAUGAGUAAAAAAAUUGUCAAAAUAGUUGUAGCUAUGAACAAUUAUAUCCAAACACAUUUAGCAUCAAUCUACUUUGCCAAAUUUUUUAGUCAUCGUCUUUGCUCGGUUGUUUUAGUUUUUGCCCUGUUUGUUCUCUUUAUUUUGAUUGAGUUUGCUUUACAAAGUCUAUCUUUCAAAACUUAGAAGGCGAGGAAAGAGCGGGUAGGAAAUGCAAAAGGUAUCAAAUCAUGCAUAUGGUCAAAUGCUCCUGUAUAUGAACACAUAAAGAACAAUUGAAAUAUCAUUCACCGGAUAACACAAACAAAUAAAAAAAAAAAAAAAAAGAAGAAAGAGAGAAAAUCUAAUCGUCUCAUUAUCCCGAACACAAAUAAUUAAACCAUCAAAUGUUUGCAAUGAGCACAAUCAGAUCAUCUCUUUGGAAUAAUUACAUGUUGGCUUGGCCUAUUUUUUGGCCGGUAAAAAGGUUUUUGGCUGGAGCAUUUGGCCUUAACUUUUUUUUUUUUUUGAGUCUAUAUCAAUUGAUGCCACUAUGUCAAUAAUAAUUGGUAGGAAAUAAAUUAAUAUGUAACUAUAUCUUCUUAAUUAAUUAUUUGUUUUUUUAUCCAUUUACAUUGGAAAAAAGGGGUGCAGGGUCAGGAAGCUUCUUAGACGUGGCACGUUCAAAAGCUUUUUUUUUUUUUUGUCUGAACCACAUGGUCCUGAGUAGGCCCUAACUGUGGGAGAUACCUUUAAGCUCAUACCACAAUCCAAACUAAUCUCCACUCGCACCAGGUCGGCCCGUAAGGGAUAAAGUACUGGCUAAAGUGGUGACUCCAUAUAAGAGCGGGGCUUGAACCUCUGACCUCUCUUAAGAAGUGAGAGUGCCGAACCACUCUGUUCAAAAGCUUUUCUUUUUUAAAAGCUGCGUCAAGCAUGACACGUCAACAUCAUUUACAAGUGGGAACAACUCUUUUUCAUAAAAGAAAAGCCUUUUUUGUUUUAAAAUAAAGUUUUUUUGGAUGAUUCACUAUUACUAAUUGCCCAAGUCAUUCUAUUGCGAAUACAUGCAAAUUAAUAAAGAGACUUGUGGGGUUGCUGGAUAGAAAUUGUUGAAUACAUACAAAUUAUUGAACAGAAAUCCAAUAAUUGAACACCGGCCAAUUCUUGUCCAAUCAAAUUAAAACUCAAUUAAUAUAUUCCACUAAAUUUUUCGUACAACAUCCUAUUCAGAUGAAUAAAAUGUAAAAAAUAAAAUAUAUAAUUCAAAAAAUUAUAAAGGAUGCAAUUUAGCAGGUCAUACAAUAUACCAACAUCAUUUACAAGUGGGAACAACUCUUUUUCAUAAAAGAAAAGCCUUUUUUGUUUUAAAAUAAAGUUUUUUUGGAUGAUUCACUAUUACUAAUUGCCCAAGUCAUUCUAUUGCGAAUACAUGCAAAUUAAUAAAGAGACUUGUGGGGUUGCUGGAUAGAAAUUGUUGAAUACAUACAAAUUAUUGAACAGAAAUCCAAUAAUUGAACACCGGCCAAUUCUUGUCCAAUCAAAUUAAAACUCAAUUAAUAUAUUCCACUAAAUUUUUCGUACAACAUCCUAUUCAGAUGAAUAAAAUGUAAAAAAUAAAAUAUAUAAUUCAAAAAAUUAUAAAGGAUGCAAUUUAGCAGGUCAUACAAUAUACCAAAAAAAGUCUUGGGGGUGCAGUGGGAAUAUUUCUUGACAGAAAGAGUCUUAAAAAUUUUUUCGCCAGAAAACAUUUUCUCUCUCUGAUCUCUGUAUUCUUCAGAUCCUCCUCCUUGCUUGAACGUCUGUAACUUUGUCAUCCAUGAUUUGCAUUCAAUUCUUGACGAAAAAACCUUUUUCCGGAUUUUCAUCUUUUGAUCUCAAACAUGCUUUGCUUCUGUUGAUUGUGGUCGCUUCUAGUGCUAGUUCUCUUCUUAUAUAGCUUUGUUCCCUUUUGCCAUCAGCUCUUUGCAUUUCCUUGGAUGAAGAAACCUUUUUCUUGUUUCAAUUUUCUGAUCUCAAAAGCACUUUGAUUCUAGUCUGCCACACUGAUUUUGUCCUUGUUUUGUACAAACAUAAUUUCGCCAUUAUCUGUUUGAUUAUCAAUUGACCCGUCGUUGACUCUAUUCUAUUUCUAUGUGAAAAAUACGAAAAAAAAAAAAAAGAGAUUGAAGAUGGUGGAAAGCAUUGUUACUGUUGUUUUAGAAGUUGUGAAAUGCUUGGCUCCUCCGACACAACGCCAACUUGAUUACUUGCGAAACUACAAUGAAAACAUUCAGAAACUCGAGGCAGAAACCGAGAGCCUGAAGGUUGAAAUUAGGAGCAUUGAGCGCAGAGUUUUUGGGGCCGAAAAACAAGGAGAAAAGAGUGAAGAGAAAGUCGAGAAGUGGUUGGUUAGCGCCAACAAGAUCAUUGAUGAGGUGAAUGCCAAAUUCAUGGGAGAUGAAGAGACUGCAAAUAAGCGAUGUCUCAAGGGGCUGUGUCCUAAUUUGAAGGCUCGCUAUCAGCUUAGCAAGAAAGCAGAGACACAGGUGAAGGCCCUUGUUGAGUGCCGAGAAGAAGCCGGUCGACUUGAUAGAAUUUCCUACCUUACCUAUCCGGACAAGAUAUGGCUCAAGUCCCACAAAGGUUACGAGGCCUUUGGAUCAAGGCUUUCUACUUUGAAGUGUAUACAAAACGCUUUGACUGAUGUUAAUGUCAGCAUCGUUGGAGUGUACGGCAUGGGCGGCGUUGGAAAGACGACUCUAGCGAAGGAGAUCGUUAGGCAAGCCUUGGCAGACAAGCUCUUUGAUCAAAUAGCCUUUUCAGAGGUUUCCGAAACUGCAGACAUAAAAAAGAUUCAGCGGGAUAUUGCUGAGGACUUGGGUCUCGCAUGGCAUGAGGAAACUGAAUCUAGAACUGCGAGUAGACUGUAUGAACAGUUGAAGAAUGAGAAGAAGAUUCUUGUGGUUCUAGAUAACAUAUGGAAGCAUCUUGAUUUGGAGACUGUUGGAAUUCCUUUUGGUGAUGAUUAUAGAGGUUGUAAACUCUUGCUGAUAGCAAGAGAUCGUAAUGUUUUGUUGGAUAUGGAUUCUAAACAUAACUUCUUUAUUGACAACUUAAAUGAAGAAGAAGCUUGGAGAUUGUUUAAGACGAUGGCGGGUGAUUAUGUUGAAAAUCGUCAGCUGAAAUCUACAGCAACAGAUGUAGCCAAGGGAUGUGGAGGCUUGCCUAUUGCCUUAGCUACAACAGCAAGGGCAAUGAGAGACAAGACUGUGCAUGAAUGGAAGAAUGCCUUGCGAGAACUUCAGACGCCUUCAGUGAUGAACUUCGAAGGACUGCCGGCAGAUACUUAUGCAAGAAUCGAGCUGAGUUUCAAGUAUUUAAAAGGUGAGCAGCUCAAGAAAAUUUUUCUGCUUUGUAGUCUAAUGGGUAAUCCUAUUUUUACUUCAGACCUGUUUAAAUACUCCAUGGGUUUGGGUAUACUCCAAGGAGUCAAGAAGAUGGAAGAUGCACGAAACCAAUUAUAUGCAUUGGCCUAUAAACUUAAAGACUCUUGUUUGUUGCUUGAGGGAGGUAGCAGCGAACAAUUUUCAAUGCAUGACGUCGUUCGCGAUGUUGGCAUAUCAAUUGCUUACCGGGACCAACAUGUAUUUUUGGCAAAAAAUGAGGAUGUGUUGGAGCUGCCGGACAAGGAAGCACUUGUAAAUUGCUAUGCGAUUUCUAUAAGUGGUUGCCGUAUUCAGGAGCUUCCUCAAGGAUUGGAAUGCUUGCAACUCGAACUUUUAUAUAUAUCUCCCAAAGACUCUUACCUUCAAAUCAAUAUUCCUGAGAACAUUUUUGCAGGGAUGCGGAAGCUUAGAGUUGUAGAUUUUACUGGGAUGCAAUUAUGUUGCUUGCCAUCUUCAAUUGAUCUCUUAGUAAAUCUUCAAACACUAUGUUUGGAUCAAUGCAUGUUGAGUGACAUAGCAAUUAUUGGAAGGUUGAAGAAUCUGGAAAUCCUUAGCUUUUUAAAUUCAGAUAUUGUGCAGUUGCCUGAAGAACUAGGUGAAUUGACUAAGCUAAGGUUGUUAGAUUUAUCCAAUUGUUUCCAGCUAAAAGCUAUUGCACCCAAUGUCCUAUCAAGCUUAACUCGAUUGGAAGAACUCUACAUGAAAAAUUGCGUUAUCGAAUGGGAUGUUCAAAGACCCAAUGGUGGAAGAAGUACUGCCAGCCUUGGUGAGUUGUUGCAAUUGCCUCGACUGACCACUCUAGAAAUAGAUGUCAAAAAUGAUAGUAUUUUACCAGAAGGCUUUUUUGCAAAAAAAUUAGAAAGGUUCAAAAUAUCAAUAGGAGAUGAGUCAUUCAAGCCUCCGGUGCGUGCGGAUGAAUGGUUCGGUAGUCGGCCGGUUUUGAUCAGUGAUCCUUCGAGUCUAAGAACCAUAAAGCUGAAGCUUAGCUCAAAGCCUAUUUGCUCGAAGAAAAUGCAGGGCAUCCAGAAUGUUGAAUACUUGUGUUUGGACAAGCUGCAAGGUGUCAAGAAUGUUCUUUUAGAUAUGGACAUUGAGGGAUUUCUACAGUUGAAGCAUCUCCAUGUUCAAAAUAAUCCUGACUUCGUGUGCGUUGUUGACUCAACGGAGGGGGUACGUCGUGAUGUGUUUCCUCUUUUGGAGUCACUUACUCUUUACAAUUUGAUUAACAUGGAGAGGGUAUGUAUUGAUCGACUCAAAGUAGAGUCUUUCUGUGAACUUAAAACCAUACAGGUGGGAAAAUGUGAUGAGUUGAGUAAUAUCUUCUUGCUGUCUUCUAUAAGCUGCCUUCCCACACUUGAGAGGAUUGCAGUUUUUGAUUGCGAUAAGAUUGAAGAGGUCUUUGCAAUUGGUGGAGAACCAGAUGUCGACAACAAUAAUGCAGUGGAGAAGAUAGAGUUUGCAGCAGUAAAAUUUUUACAUCUGCAAAAUCUUCCGAAGCUUGCAAGUUUUUGCUCUGAAGUAAAGAGACCAAAUACACAAGGGUCGCAAGAGGAAUUGACAGCUACUACUUGCUCGACCGAAAUCAGUUUGUUGGAGGAGGACAAGCUUGAUACUUCGACACCGCUUUUCAACGAGAAGGUAAGCUGUUAUAAUGAAACCAAAGCAUUCGUUUUUCUUUCUCAACUUAUUCUAUCGUGCAUUUUCGUUUGAUGACAACUAUAGAAAAUGAAUUAUAAGGGAAAAAGAAAAUGAGAAUUGGAAAUUAGAAUCUCACACACUCACUCACUAAGCUCGCUUUACAUAUUAAUGAUGUGAAUUAAAUUGCAUAUUAAGUGUAUGUUUAGUAUGGUAAUAAUUCUCAAAAAAUCAUUUUUAGCACGGAUUUCUAAAAACUAUAUUUGAAAAAAGUUUAACACAAUGUUUUGUAAAUGGGUGAGCUAUUUGCACCUUAAAAAUUACUCUAAACACUCUAAUUGAAAUAAAAAUUUAUAACAAAAAUAUCUAUCAUAUGAAUUAUAUAAAGGACAAUUUAUUAUAAGUCAAUAUUACAUAAUUACUAUGAACGCCCCAUAUAACACACUCAUUAUUUAAUAUAUAUAAUUUUCAUGUUUUAAACCUUAAAACUUUUUUAUUUACAUCUUCAUCAAUACUUAGAUGAAUAAUGAUAAAAUCAAUAUUUUUCUUUUAUUUUUCCAUAAAUAAUCAAUAUCAAACGCGCACUGAAGCUGUCACUUGGAAGAUGAUUUGAUCUAACAAGAAAUUAAUGUUUAGGUUGUGUUCCCCAACUUGGAAGAUUUGGAGUUGAUUGGAAUUAAUGUCGAAAAGAUUUGGCACAAUCAACUUCCAGCCAUGUUUCCUCGCUUUCAAAGUUUAACAAAAUUAAUCGUGGGGAAGUGUCACAAAUUAAAAUGUAUAUUUUCGGCUUCUAUGCUCAGAAGCUUUGAGCACCUCCGACACCUGGAUAUAUGCAACUGUAUGGGUUUGCUUGAGAUUAUUUCCGAAGGAGCAGAUCAAGUGCCACCUUGUUUUAUCUUUCCGCGGCUGACAUUUCUAAGACUAGGUGAACUACCAGAACUUAGAUGUUUAUAUCCUGGAAUGCAUACUUCGGAAUGGCCGGCACUAAACUCGUUGAUGGUCUUUGGUUGUGACAAAAUAAAGUUAUUUGCUUCUGAGUUAUCUAGCUUCCAUGGAAACAUUGAUGAGAAUCAACUUCCUAUCCCAGCACAACAGCCUCUGUUCUUGAUCGAAAAGGUACAUAUGAAACCAUUUAUUUGAUCUUUUAUCGGUUGCAUCUUACUGUUUCUUAUGUUUUAUGUUUGGUUCUUCGAUGCAAAGAAACUCACAAACAAUAGAUUUUAGAAAUACCCGCUGUACAUGUAUGUGUUACUCAAAAUUGUUUGACAGAACAUCAAUUGAACUAAUUAGUUUUUAUGUGAGUUGAUGAUGUUCAGAUCCUCCCCAACUUGGAGAAUCUGCUAUUAAGUGGAAAGGAUUUCAGGAUGAUUUUGCAGGAAGAUUACCCACAACACCUCUUUGGCAGUCUUAAAUACAUUGAGGUUGUGGAAGAUGACUCAGCUUGUUUUCCGCUUGGUUUACUUGAGAAGUUUCGCAAUCUGGAAAUCCUCUAUCUGAGUGGUACUUCAUACACAGAGAUAUUAUCAAAUGAAGGACACUCGGAGAAGCACGUGGGCAAGUUCUCACAAGUAAAACAUUUACAGCCGUACAAACUGACUGAUCUGAAGCAGCUGUGGAAACAAGGCUCCAAACUAGACUUCAUUUUCACAAAUCUUGAAAUUCUACGAGUAUAUUGUUGUCAAAAUCUGAUUGUUCUAUUGCCAUCGUCAUCGUUAUCUUUCCGAAAUCUGACGGAUCUGCAAGUUUGGGGUUGCAAGGAAUUGAUGAAGUUGGUAACAUCCUCCACAGCAAAGAGUCUAGUGCGACUCAGGAUAAUGAAGGUAUGUGGAAGCAGAGCAAUGACACAAGUGGUAACAAGUGAGAAAGAUGGAGCAGAAGAUGAAAUUGUUUUCAGCAAUUUGAAGGCGUUGACUCUGCUUGAUUUAGAUAGUCUCACAAGUUUCUGCUCUGGCAAUCACACCUUCAAAUUCCCAUCUUUACGAGAUUUAGAAGUGAUUGGUUGUCCCAAGAUGAAGAUUUUCACCACAGGAGAAUUAUGUACACCGCCGAGAGUAAACGUGUGGUAUGGAGAGGGAGAUGGUGAAUGUCGUUGGGCUAAUGACCUUAACGUU
Molecule: long non-coding RNA, 12635 nt
Filed under: Citrus x clementina
Lineage: Eukaryota; Viridiplantae; Streptophyta; Magnoliopsida; Sapindales; Rutaceae
Description: Citrus clementina (C. clementina) long non-coding RNA (CCLE_LNC002966)
Source: RNAcentral